AGAAAGUUAGUCUAACUAAGACAGUUGAUUUCGACUCAACAGAUUAUAGCUACAACCCUAUAACUUUCUU
Molecule: transfer RNA, 70 nt
Filed under: Manorina melanocephala (noisy miner)
Lineage: Eukaryota; Metazoa; Chordata; Aves; Passeriformes; Meliphagidae
Also listed under: 1 other name
Description: tRNA-Arg
Rfam family: tRNA
About the family: Transfer RNA (tRNA) molecules are approximately 80 nucleotides in length. Their secondary structure includes four short double-helical elements and three loops (D, anti-codon, and T loops). Further hydrogen bonds mediate the characteristic L-shaped molecular structure. tRNAs have two regions of fundamental functional importance: the anti-codon, which is responsible for specific mRNA codon recognition, and the 3' end, to which the tRNAs corresponding amino acid is attached (by aminoacyl-tRNA synthetases). tRNAs cope with the degeneracy of the genetic code in two manners: having more than one tRNA (with a specific anti-codon) for a particular amino acid; and 'wobble' base-pairing, i.e. permitting non-standard base-pairing at the 3rd anti-codon position.
Source: RNAcentral